UACAGAGGGUGCAAGCGUUAAUCGGAAUUACUGCGCGUAAAGCGCGCGUAGGUGGUUCGUUAAGUUGGAUGUGAAAGCCCCGGGCUCAACCUGGGAACUGCAUCCAAAACUGGCGAGCUAGAGUAUGGUGGAGGGUGGUGGAAUUUCCUGUGUAGCGGUGAAAUGCGUAGAUAUAGGAGGGAACACCAGUGGCGAAGGCGACCACCUGGACUGAUCCUGACACUGGGGUGCGAAAGCGUGGGGAGCAAACAGG
This 253-nucleotide ribosomal RNA is filed under the name uncultured bacterium. RNAcentral describes it as "partial 16S ribosomal RNA". It matches the Rfam family "Bacterial small subunit ribosomal RNA", at positions 524 to 776 of the family's 1533-position model. The record is from RNAcentral.